CACAUGACUCUCGGCAACGGAUAUCUUGGCUCUCGCAUCGAUGAAGAACGUAGCAAAAUGCGAUACCUGGUGUGAAUUGCAGAAUCCCGUGAACCAUCGAGUUUUUGAACGCAAGUUGCGCCCGAGGCCUUUUGGCCGAGGGCACGUCUGCCUGGGCGUCACGU
This 164-nucleotide ribosomal RNA is filed under the name Eleusine jaegeri. Its description in RNAcentral is "5.8S ribosomal RNA". It matches the Rfam family "5.8S ribosomal RNA". From Rfam's summary of the family: 5.8S ribosomal RNA (5.8S rRNA) is a component of the large subunit of the eukaryotic ribosome. It is transcribed by RNA polymerase I as part of the 45S precursor that also contains 18S and 28S rRNA. Lineage: Eukaryota; Viridiplantae; Streptophyta; Magnoliopsida; Poales; Poaceae. The record is from RNAcentral.